This is a long non-coding RNA of Prosopis cineraria, 1100 nucleotides long. RefSeq lists it as uncharacterized. Lineage: Eukaryota; Viridiplantae; Streptophyta; Magnoliopsida; Fabales; Fabaceae. The transcript has 2 exons. The record is from RefSeq and is a predicted model, not a curated record.
CGCUUUCGCUUUCUCCGAACAAGUGGAAAAGUGGGUUGAGAUCGGUGCGCUUACAGGGGCCUUGAAAGAUGCAGAAUAUCUGACAAAGCGAGAAAUUGAAGAAAAGAACUGAGAGUAGUGAAAGCAGAACUGGAAGUUAACAAUUUUCUUGAGAAGGUUGCUUAUGAGGAAGAAUCAAUCUUACAUUUGAAACAAGAAUCAGAGCAGCUUCGAGCGUCAUUAGAGGCAAAGAAGUUGGAAACUGAAGAUGUGACGGAAAAAUUGAGGUCCAUGAAAAGCAUAAUUGGAGAGCUUGAGUUUGAGAAAGGAAUUUUGCUCCAAGAUAUCACAAAGUUAUCAACUGAAAGGGAGGGUAUGCUAGCUCAUAUUGAAGACAUGUGUGAGAGGAUUGGGGAAUUAUCUGGUAAGGAUCUGCAAUUGAUGAAGACUCUUGACGAGAUGCUGAAUACUACUGCAGAUGGAGAUCAUUGGUCAACGGAUCUUGUUGACUUUGACAAGCUGCAUGUUGCUACUGUAAAUGAGAGCAAAUCGUACUUUUUCUGCCACGACUAAGAAACACGAAGCAAAUUUUUGAUGGGCGAGCUCCUCUGAGAGAGGUUAAGAAUUUGCACGUGUAGAUCGGGGAAGAAGUCUGAACUCAAGCAGAAGAAAUGCGGUCAAGGAUUUGGUCGGGUAUCGAGCAAGCUAAAUCACUGUAUCUAAACCUCUGUUGGGAGCUCCAAAAACCAGCAUUAUUAGAUAUGGAGAAGUGGGGGAAAAAACAUUGUCUAAUGCUUGUUUCAGUAACUACCACAUGUGAUAGAAAAUAUGGCAAAUGUUAUUUUAGAAAGAAAUAAUUGUUUUUGCAUUAUUUAGUAUUUUGUAAGUUUCCUUCUAAAGGAAGGAAACCUGACCUGCUUUUGUUUGUUCUACUCUUUAUUUAAAUCUGCAAGUUGAGCUUUCCUUAUAGGGAAGGAAACCUCAAACUUAUAUUUUAUUUCAUUUUAUGUUUCCUUCAUAAGAAGGAAACCUUAAUUGUGGCUUCUAUAAAAAGCCACCAUGCAGCACAUGUAAGGGAGUUCGAGGAGUUGGAAUGAAUUGCUGUUCUAUUCCCCUAUCUA